GACGAACGCUGGCGGCGUGCUUAACACAUGCAAGUCGAACGGAAAGGCCCUGCUUUUGUGGGGUGCUCGAGUGGCGAACGGGUGAGUAACACGUGAGUAACCUGCCCUUGACUUUGGGAUAACUUCAGGAAACUGGGGCUAAUACCGGAUAGGAGCUCCUGCUGCAUGGUGGGGGUUGGAAAGUUUCGGCGGUUGGGGAUGGACUCGCGGCUUAUCAGCUUGUUGGUGGGGUAGUGGCUUACCAAGGCUUUGAUGGGUAGCCGGCCUGGGAGGGUGACCGGCCACAUUGGGACUGAGAUACGGCCCAGACUCCUACGGGAGGCAGCAGUGGGGAAUAUUGCACAAUGGGCGGAAGCCUGAUGCAGCAACGCCGCGUGCGGGAUGACGGCCUUCGGGUUGUAAACCGCUUUCGCCUGUGACGAAGCGUGAGUGACGGUAAUGGGUAAAGAAGCACCGGCUAACUACGUG
Molecule: ribosomal RNA, 468 nt
Filed under: uncultured bacterium
Lineage: Bacteria
Description: partial 16S ribosomal RNA
Rfam family: Bacterial small subunit ribosomal RNA
Source: RNAcentral